AAAGGUAUGGUGUAGUGGAAACAUCUCUCCCGCCAGGAGAAGAUACAGGUUCGAGUCCUGUUGCCUUUU
This 69-nucleotide transfer RNA is filed under the name Chitinophaga nivalis. RNAcentral's name for it is "tRNA-Gly". It matches the Rfam family "tRNA". Rfam says of the family: Transfer RNA (tRNA) molecules are approximately 80 nucleotides in length. Their secondary structure includes four short double-helical elements and three loops (D, anti-codon, and T loops). The record is from RNAcentral. Lineage: Bacteria; Pseudomonadati; Bacteroidota; Chitinophagia; Chitinophagales; Chitinophagaceae.